GGCUGAGGAACCUCGCCUGGGGCAUUCAAAUAAAUUACUUGGCCCUUUGUUGCCUCUCUUUGCCUGCUUAUUUCGGCUAGAAUUUAUCUUACAUUUGGUGCCAAAAUUCCAGAAAGGAGCGUGACCGCGGGGCCCCGACCGGCCAUCAGUGGCCCUGCCCCCUCCUUCCCCAACCGGGAAACUCAGCCUGCUCUCUGCUGCGUGGACUAUUUUCCGGGAAUUUCCAAGGAUCGUCUACAGUACAAAAAUUCUUCAUAUUUGCUGACCUGACAACUUCGUUAUAAGUCCAAAAAGGUGACAGUGUGUAAGCUGAUAUUCCAAAGGGGAAAAGAAAAGUAAAGAACACAAGAUUCUUCAAGGUUGACACAGCAGACUUACUCAGCAAGAACCUGACCUACAACAGGAAGGCAUGCAUGUAUAUACAUGUGCAUGUGCACAUGCACACAAUUUUCUCCACUUAUUAUGGAGCAGAGGCCCAACCACACUCAGUAUGUGAUGUAUUAUGCAGCACAUGUUCCAUUUUUCUUUUUUAAAAAUCUGAAUCAUUCUUAAUUUUGAAAUACAUAAAUAGCAGGGUUUUGCAUAAGCUAUUGCGUGUGUGCAGUUAACUAAUUAUAAACUAUAAUGCAAUACAGCGUGUACUUAGGCAUGAACCAGACAAUUUCACCUUUGAAAUUUAAGUGGCUAGUGUCUACCCAAAAUAAAUCAGAGCAUUGUCUGUAAAAUAACCCAGCAGUAAGGGAGUGGGCCUAGAGAUCAAGUUUCUAUUAAUCAAGAGUUAUACUUAUUUCUCAGAUAAUUAUAGCAGCUAAGAUGUGCCCUCAGGAAUGACCUUUAAUUCAUGUAAAUUCUAACCCUAAUAACCUAGCAACAGAAGUAAAAAGGAAAAGGAGAAUUAAGGAGCAAGUGGUGAUUUAUCAUAUCAGUGUUUCCAGAACUCAUCUCAUAAGAAUCACCUGAGACACUGUUGUAAGAUUUCUAGUUCCCCCCAUGGAACUCCUCAGUCACUGUAUCUGCAAAAGGCCUCAGGAAUUCUAUCAAUAUUGGGUAUCUAGAAACAAUUAUCUUUAGACUACAGAAUGGUAUCUUGUCCAGUUAACCUACUUUGAAAGCAAUUUAAACUCAUCUAUUUUGCUUAGAUGCAAAGCACACAGUAUCCUGUUAUGUAAAUUUUCUCCCUUGUAGUUUUGAGCAAAAAGGAACAUAUGUAAUUCACUAGUAUUUUGUGAAUAUUUGAACACCAUGGUUUAUAAUUUCGUGUUUUAUGAGUUUAAUUGCUUACAACAAAACUCGGGUCAGACCUCAAGAAGUUAAUAAUUGAGUAAUUUUUCAUUGAAUUUCUGGAAAUGUUAAGAAUCUAAAUCUAGAUUGUUUUAAAGACAUUAGGAACUUGCUGAUCUUCUCAUUUCUAUCCAAAGUAGACAGCUAGACUACUUUGAAAAAUCUGCUUUGACAAUAUUUUUACAAAAUUUUAUUCCAUUUCUUGUUAGCAUUGUAUGAGGAUAGCAUGAGAUAUUUACAGUAUUAAUACUGACUCUGGUUAUAUUAACAUAAGUAAACAUGAAAUAAGCCACAUAAUCGUGAAGGCUAACUUAAUAUAGAAGCUUAAGACUAACUAUGGAUACCAAUUUCUAUGUGACUAUUCCUGCAUUCCUAAAAUAAAAUGAACAAUUUAAGAAAACAGCAAAGCUAAAGAUUCAAAGCAUUUAUGUUCAAAAAUUACAAACAGGUGCUUUAAAGUUAUAUAAUACUUUCUUCUGAUCAUUUAUCAUUUUCAUAACUCAUUUUAUGAAUUUAACUUGAUUUCAAGUGAGCCUUUAACUUUAUUGAGCUUAAUCAAUUAGUAAAGACCUUUCAUACCAUGUUCUUUUUAUUGCAUUUACAUCAUUCUCGGUUUGCAUGUACUCUCAUAAGCUGAAAAACUGAGAAAGAUAAUGGACUAGAACCCUAAGACUCAAGUAUAUUUGCUGUUUUCUUUGAUCAUAACUAUCAUUUAUGUGCCAUAACUAUCUUAAAACUUCUGAGCAUAGCGUGAUUUUUAAUACCAUCAUGAUCUGUUACAGAUUUUUCCCUUUGCCAGGACUACUCUUCACUAUAGCCACUUGCUUUUUUUGUGCAGUCAGCUAAGAACCUCCAGUCUCUGAAGCCUCCCUUGUUUACAUCAUGAACCUUGACAGAAUAAUCCCACUCUUCAUCUCUGCUAAGAAUGACUGAUUUUUUCCCCAUGUUCCCCGGCUCAUCCAACCUCAUUAUACUUAGCCAUCCAAGCUAGAACUUCUUUCUAAAUCCUUACUUGUCACCUUCCACAGCUGGUCUGAUUUUGUUGGUUCUGCCUCCUUCCCCACAUACCCUAAAUUUGUAAAUUCCUUCCACUACUAUUAUUUCUCAGCCCUUAACUUACCGCUACUCCUUGUCUAUGCCUUCCUCCACUCUAUAGCCAAGGUCAUGUUUGUAGAAAUGUAUUUCUGGUCAUGGGUAAAUCAAAAUGCUUUACGAAGUUACAUGGGUAAUUUCAUAAUCUGGCAGCAUUUUUUUCAUUCUUAUUUUAUCUCCUCCUAUCCACUACACAGUUUAUAGUCUUCACUCCGACCACACCAAAUCCCCCAGUUCCCUAAAUGCCUGUGAUAGUUUGUUAUUGUUCACAAUUAUUCCCUCCCUUUCUUCCCAUAGAUUAUAAUCCUUAUUCUUCUCCAUGUGACCUCUAGUAUGUCUUUUGAAAGAGAAGUAUGUAGUAUAUUUUUGACCUUCAGCUCAUUGAUUUUAGGCUUGGCCAUGAGAUUUCCUUUAACAGAAUGCAGAGAUGUGGCACAUGCCAGAUCUGAAGAGAAGCCGAAGGUUUAGUUUCCCCUCUUGCUCUUCCUGUCUGCGCGAGAGUGGGAACGUCCCACACUGUGCUGCUCGUCUAACUUGGAGCCUGCAAGAGAAAGCAUGAGAGCGCGCGAAAGCAGGGUCAGGCCCACCCAUCCUCUCCGUUGGCAUUACUGAAGAUAAUAUUUUCUUCUGUCUCUCUGAAAGUAUUUCUAUUAAUAUUUCAAGCACUACUGUAACUGCUUUGUGAUGCCUUCUUUCAGGUUAACAUUUAGAACUUUUCCAGCACGAUUCCUAGCACAGUCACACUGUAUUUUAUUUAUUUACAUGUAUGUGUGUUUCAAUCGCCUCCACUAGAAUGUUACUCUGGAGGCACAGGCUAUCUUUUCUUUAAUAAUCUCCACUGACUAGCCUUAAUUCUGGCAAAUGCUAAGGGUCCCACAAUUUGAAUUAACAAUGGCACAUCCAAUACUGAAUGAAAGAUAAAUGUUUAUUAUCUCCGGCAGCUCCCUUGGUUGGCAAUCUUUCAAAGGAAGAGUAUAGAUUUUGAAUGCGUUAACACAAUUAAAUGAUUUACUUUGUAAACACUUGUAUGGCACUGAUUAUGUACUAUGCAUUGUUCUAAGUUAUUUUAAAAACUAACUUGUCUUAAUCAAUACAAAACCCUAUGAGAUACUCAAGAUCAUCAUCCUUAUUUUCACAUGAACUAGCCAAGAUGCUGAGAGGUUAAAUACUUCGUCCAAGUAUUCAGUGAUAGAGCAGACAUUUAAACUUCAAUAUUUCCAUGUCAGAGCCCAUUAGUUCAAUCACAAGUCUAGCAAUAUUAAUAAGUAAUUUAGGGCCUCAAUUUCCUCAUCUUUAAAAAGAAGGUGUAAAAUCAGAUACUGACUAUGUAAAAUAUGUUACCCAAAGACCAAAAGUGAAAUAUAUUCCAGAAGCUAAAAUUUUAAUUUUCUGUAUUAAAUUUUAGUUCUGUGAUAAGUCUGAGGUAGGCUUACCAUUUAAUGGGAUCAUAUACCUCUGUAUGAGGUUAGAUGGUGACCCCCAGCACCCCAUGGGCCAAAUCACUUUGUCUCCUUGAGUUCACAUGGCUUCCAGGACCAAAGAAAGAGCCUCAGAAAAAAAAAAGUGUUUCUUUUUAAUUGAUGAAAAAUAUCAUACAACUAGUUAAUGAAUAUGAAGAAUGUUAUUCAAUUUCUUGAUGGAAUAACAAAGGUUAAAUGACAAAUGAUAAUCUAACAACAUAUGUGAUCUUCAAGUUUGCCUCUUCACAGAUGAAUUUCUUGUUCAUAUGGGACUAUCCCUACAUUCCUAA
Molecule: long non-coding RNA, 4123 nt
Organism: Manis javanica (Malayan pangolin)
Lineage: Eukaryota; Metazoa; Chordata; Mammalia; Pholidota; Manidae
Source: RefSeq, a predicted model, not a curated record